RNAcentral lists this ribosomal RNA (3521 nucleotides) under metagenome. Its description in RNAcentral is "bacterial LSU rRNA". It matches the Rfam family "Bacterial large subunit ribosomal RNA". The record is from RNAcentral.
UCAAGCUAUUAAGAGCAUAGGGCGGAUGCCUUGGCACCAGGAGCCGAUGAAGGACGUGAUAAGCUGCGAUAAGCCACGGGUAGGCGCAAAUAGCCAUCGAUCCGUGGAUUUCCGAAUGGGGGAACCCACCAGAGGUAAACUCUCUGGUACCUGUACAUGAAUCCAUAGUGUGCAGGGGGGAUACGCAGGGAACUGAAACAUCUAAGUACCUGCAGGAAAAGAAAUCAACCGAGAUUCCGUAAGUAGUGGCGAGCGAACGCGGAGGAGCCUAAACCGUACCAGGGAACAGAGGACAGAAGAGGAAAGAUUCUGUUUUCUGUUCUCUGGUACGGGGUAAUGGACUGGCAAAAUGAUUCUGAGCGCAUAGCAGAAUGAGACACUGGAACGUGUAGACCAUAGAGGGUAAAAGUCCCGUAUGCGAAAUGUGCGAAGACAGGCCAGUAUCCGGAGUACCACGAGGCACGAGGAACCUUGUGGGAAGUCGGGGGGACCACCCUCCAAGGCUAAAUACUACCUGGUGACCGAUAGUGAAGCAGUACCGUGAGGGAAAGGUGAAAAGAACCCCGGGAGGGGAGUGAAAGAGAACCUGAAACCCUAUGUUUACAAGCAGUUGGAGAGCGUUAAAGCUCGACAGCGUACUUUUUGUAGAACGGUCCGGCGAGUUAUUGUAUGUGGCGAGGUUAAGGACUGAAGGUCCGGAGCCGCAGGGAAGCCGAGUCUUAACAGGGCGUUAAGUCACAUGCAAUAGACCCGAAACCGGGUGACCUAUCCAUGGCCAGGUUGAAACGAGAGUAAAAUCUCGCGGAGGACCGAACCCACCGAUGUUGAAAAAUCGGGGGAUGAGCUGUGGAUAGCGGUGAAAUGCCAAUCGAACCCGGAGAUAGCUGGUUCUCCCCGAAAUAGCUUUAGGGCUAGCCUCAGGUUAUAGUCUGACGGAGGUAAAGCACUGAAUGGGCUAGGGGCCUUACCGGGUUACCGAACCCUAUCAAACUCAGAAUGCCGUACAGAUGUUACCUGGGAGUCAGACUACGAGAGAUAAGUUCCGUAGUCGAGAGGGAAACAGCCCAGACCAUCAGCUAAGGUCCCGAAAUCACGAUUAAGUGGGGAAGGAUGUGGGUUUGCUAAGACAACUAGGAUGUUGGCUUAGAAGCAGCCAUUCAUUUAAAGAGUGCGUAAUAGCUCACUAGUCGAGUGAGCCUGCGCCGAAAAUUACCGGGGCUAAAUCGUGUACCGAAGCUAUGGAUUCCAGAAAACAGUGAACAGAGGUCAGAGAACAGAGGGCGUGUAGUAAUGAUAGAAAGUUUCAGGGAUUUGAAAGUAUACCAGAAAGCGUAUAAGGUUUCACUGAGACUUCACGAAAUAUCAUUAAAGCUGCCCGGAUUUGAAAAACAUGAACUGGGAAGUCAGAUAAGAAGAGCAUCAAAGUCAGUAGCAAUGAAUAUUGCCGAAGGAUACGCAAGAAAUGUAUCAACAGCUGACACAAAAAGAUUCUUCACGAUGGCACUGGGUUCAUGUGAAGAGGUAAGAGUGCAAAUCGACUACCUCAAGGACCUCGGAUAUAUCACUGACGAAGUGAAAGAAGAGCUGGAGAAGGAGUAUACACAGAUAGGGAAGAUGCUUGUAGCUAUGAUCCGGAAAUGGAAAUAGCUGCGGAGCCUGAACUUAAUCUGUUCUCUGGAUUCUGUUCACUGUUUACUGGAGUGGUAGGGGAGCUUACUGCGACAGGCAGAAGGUCGACCGAGAGGACGGCUGGACGAGGCAGUAGUGAGAAUGCCGGAAUGAGUAGCGAGAGUAAAGUGAGAAUCUUUACCGUCGAAAGCCUAAGGUUUCCUGGGGAAGGCUCGUCCGCCCAGGGUAAGUCGGGACCUAAGCCGAGGCCGAAAGGCGUAGGCGAUGGACAACAGGUUGAAAUUCCUGUACUGCCGUUACUCGUUUGAGAGAGGUGGGGACGCAGGGGGAAUAGUUAAGCGAGCGACUGGAAGAGCUCGUCCAAGGGAGAUAGAUAGUCCGGCAGGCAAAUCCGCCGGAUGUUUCGAAGUCCUGAUGGGGAGGGAAAAUAAAGUACCGAAGUAACGAUUUCCGCACUGACGAGAAAAGCCACUAUCGAGAGUAAAGGUACCCGUACCGCAAACCGACACAGGUAGGUGAGGAGAGAAUCCUAAGACGAGCGGGAGAAGCGUUGUUAAGGAACUCGGCAAAUUGACCCCGUAAGUUCGCGAGAAGGGGUGCCAAGGCCAGAGAACGGAGAACAGAGAGUCAGAGAGCAGAGAAAGGGAAGAAGGACGAUCUGUUUUCAACAGAAGAAAGAAACGGAGAUAAAAAAGCAUCAUAUCUGUUUUCUGGAGAUCUGUUCUCUGUUUUCUGGAAUUGGCCGCAGUGAAACGGCCCGAGCAACUGUUUAUCAAAAACACAGGUCUCUGCUAAAUCGAAAGAUGACGUAUAGGGGCUGACGCCUGCCCGGUGCUGGAAGGUUACGGGGAAUUGUUAGCCUAAAGGCGAAGCAAUGAACUUAAGCCCCAGUAAACGGCGGCCGUAACUAUAACGGUCCUAAGGUAGCGAAAUUCCUUGUCAGGUAAGUUCUGACCCGCACGAAUGGCGUAAUGACUUGGGCACUGUCUCGACAACGCGCCCGGUGAAAUUGUAGUACUCGUGAAGAUGCGAGUUACCCGCGACAAGACGGAAAGACCCCAUGGAGCUUUACUGUAGCCUGAUAUUGGGUUUCGGUAUUUUUUGUACAGGAUAGGUGGGAGACUGAGAAGCGUGGGCGCCAGCUUACGUGGAGUCGUCGUUGGGAUACCACUCUAAAAGUGCUGGGACUCUAACCAGAGUCUGUGAACCAGGCUUGGGACACUGUCAGGUGGGCAGUUUGACUGGGGCGGUCGCCUCCUAAAAGGUAACGGAGGCGUCCAAAGGUUACCUCAGCGCGGUUGGAAAUCGCGCACCGAGUGCAAAGGCAUAAGGUAGCCUGACUGUGAGAGGUACAUCUCGAGCAGGUACGAAAGUAGGGCUUAGUGAUCCGGUGGUAUGAAAGUGGAAUUGCCAUCGCUCAACGGAUAAAAGCUACCCUGGGGAUAACAGGCUUAUCUCCCCCAAGAGUCCACAUCGACGGGGAGGUUUGGCACCUCGAUGUCGGCUCAUCGCAUCCUGGAGCUGAAGUAGGUUCCAAGGGUUUGGCUGUUCGCCAAUUAAAGCGGUACGCGAGCUGGGUUCAGAACGUCGUGAGACAGUUCGGUCCCUAUCUGUCGCGGGCGCAGGAUAUUUGAAGGGAUCUGUCCUUAGUACGAGAGGACCGGGAUGGACAAACCUCUGGUGCACCAGUUGUCACGCCAGUGGCAUAGCUGGGUAGCCAAGUUUGGACGGGAUAAACGCUGAAGGCAUCUAAGCGUGAAGCCCACCCUGAGAUGAGAUAUCCCACCUUUUAAGGGUAAGACCCCAUGUAGACUACAUGGUAGAUAGGCCAGAGGUGUAAGUGCAGUAAUGUAUUUAGCUGACUGGUACUAAUAGGUCGAGGGCUUGACCAA